This 169-nucleotide small nuclear RNA is filed under the name Erinaceus europaeus (western European hedgehog). RNAcentral describes it as "7SK RNA". It matches the Rfam family "7SK RNA", at positions 1 to 189 of the family's 331-position model. Rfam says of the family: 7SK was discovered as an abundant small nuclear RNA in the mid-70s but a possible function has only recently been suggested. The record is from Rfam by way of RNAcentral. Lineage: Eukaryota; Metazoa; Chordata; Mammalia; Eulipotyphla; Erinaceidae.
GGAUGUGGGUGCAAUCUGGCUGCAACAUCUGUCACCCCAUUGAUGGCCAGGGUUGAUUUGGCUGAUGUGGCUGGCUAGGCAGGUGUCCCCUUCCUUCAUGUGCGUCCCUCCCGGUCGGUCAAAGAGGAUAACCUUCCCCGAAUACAGAUAGGUGGCGCAGUGGGUAAGG